GCAAGGGAACGGAACGGAAGGGGAGGGAAGCGGGAGAGGCGCUGGGUUCCCCGGGGCAGGAAGCGGCGGCCGGGGGCUCCGGGAAGGGCCCGGGUGAGGGGCGCCUCCGGGUCCCGGCAGCCAUGCCCUUGUCUCCCUCCCGGGCACGGAGCCGGGGCCCGGCGGGGCGGCGAAGCGCGGCGAGGGACCGGGAGCGGGAGCGGCAGCACCGAGCCCAGCCUCACAGACUUUCUUACGGCUCCAGCUCUGCGUUGUUUCAGCUCCAGCCCUGCAGUGUUUAGCUCAGCCUCAGCUCUACAUCUUCCUGCUGCCUCCGUGUUCUCACAGCAGCUCUGGGGGCUGUUGAUAAGAGGGGAGUUUGGCCUGGUGCAUGCUGGCAUCCCAUGUUUCAGGGGCAAAUAAAACCAGACCCCCACCUCUGCUUGUUUUCAGGCCCAGAAACACAGCACUCUGGGGACUUUUGGAGCAGCUGAACCCCAGGACUGAGCUGGGCUGUUCAGCCCCAACCACAGAACUUCAUCCUCCUUUGGGGGGCUGGAAACACCCUUGAGGCUGCU
Grus americana (Whooping crane) is the source of this 557-nucleotide long non-coding RNA. RefSeq lists it as uncharacterized. Lineage: Eukaryota; Metazoa; Chordata; Aves; Gruiformes; Gruidae. The transcript is spliced from 4 exons. The record is from RefSeq and is a predicted model, not a curated record.